CACGGGGGGAGCAAGCGUUGUUCGGAAUCACUGGGCGUAAAGGGUGCGUAGGCGGCGCGGUAAGUCGGGUGUGAAAUCUCGGAGCUUAACUCCGAAACUGCAUUCGAUACUGCCGUGCUUGAGGACUGGAGAGGAGACUGGAAUUUACGGUGUAGCGGUGAAAUGCGUAGAUAUCGUAAGGAAGACCAGUGGCGAAGGCGGGUCUCUGGACAGUUCCUGACGCUGAGGCACGAAGGUCAGGGGAGCAAACGGG
This 253-nucleotide ribosomal RNA is filed under the name uncultured bacterium. Its description in RNAcentral is "partial 16S ribosomal RNA". It matches the Rfam family "Bacterial small subunit ribosomal RNA", at positions 524 to 776 of the family's 1533-position model. The record is from RNAcentral.